RNAcentral lists this ribosomal RNA (484 nucleotides) under uncultured bacterium. RNAcentral describes it as "partial 16S ribosomal RNA". It matches the Rfam family "Bacterial small subunit ribosomal RNA", at positions 29 to 507 of the family's 1533-position model. The record is from RNAcentral.
AUUGAACGCUGGCGGCAUGCUUUACACAUGCAAGUCGAACGGCCGCGCGGGCUUCGGCCUGGCGGCGAGUGGCGAACGGGUGAGUAAUACACCGGAACGUGCCCAGUAGUGGGGGAUAGCUCGGCGAAAGCCGGACUAAUCCCGCAUACGACCUGAGGGUGAAAGCGGGGGAUCUUCGGACCUCGCGCUAUUGGAGCGGCCGAUGGCAGAUUAGCUAGUUGGUGGGGUAAAGGCCUACCAAGGCGACGAUCUGUAGCUGGUCUGAGAGGACGACCAGCCACACUGGGACUGAGACACGGCCCAGACUCCUACGGGAGGCAGCAGUGGGGAAUUUUGGGCAAUGGGCGAAAGCCUGAUCCAGCAAUGCCGCGUGUGUGAUGAAGGCCUUCGGGUUGUAAAGCACUUUUGGCGGGAAAGAAAAGGACUGUGCCAAUACCACGGUUCGAUGACGGUACCCGCAGAAUAAGCACCGGCUAACUACGUG